AUUAAUUCUCUCCGAGUCUAGAGAUGCUAAGGGAGUUCAUUCUAUGCUGCUAGACCGAUAGGGUACAGAGGGAAACGUUUGUGCCUCCACGUUUUGGAAAGGAAA
RNAcentral lists this non-coding RNA (105 nucleotides) under human gut metagenome. RNAcentral's name for it is "Moco (molybdenum cofactor) riboswitch". The stretch from base 11 to 103 matches the Rfam family "Molybdenum/Tungsten riboswitch aptamer (Moco RNA motif)", at positions 14 to 118 of the family's 135-position model. The record is from RNAcentral.